AAAAGACUAAGUUUUUCUUAAUAUAAACCCGCGUCACGUGAUGUCUCCUCAAUCUUGCGCGCGCGCUGUAUCUAAAAUAAAAGAAAAACUUUCCAAACUAAACAUGAAACUUCUCCGGUAACAUAAUAAUAUAGACCCCAUACCAAAGCAAACAAACAAACAAAUAAACAAAUACCCCCCCCCCCCCCCUUUUUUUCCAAAUCAAUCAAUAAAAAAAAAAAUCAAUUAUCCAUUCAUCAGAGGGGAAAGACUGCCUAACAAUUGUUUU
Molecule: long non-coding RNA, 268 nt
Filed under: Mytilus galloprovincialis (Mediterranean mussel)
Lineage: Eukaryota; Metazoa; Mollusca; Bivalvia; Mytilida; Mytilidae
Source: RNAcentral